Molecule: transfer RNA, 77 nt
Filed under: Desulfovibrio sp.
Lineage: Bacteria; Pseudomonadati; Thermodesulfobacteriota; Desulfovibrionia; Desulfovibrionales; Desulfovibrionaceae
Description: tRNA-Pro
Rfam family: tRNA
About the family: Transfer RNA (tRNA) molecules are approximately 80 nucleotides in length. Their secondary structure includes four short double-helical elements and three loops (D, anti-codon, and T loops).
Source: RNAcentral
CGGAGCGUGGCGCAGCUUGGUAGCGCACCUGCUUUGGGAGCAGGAUGUCGGAGGUUCAAAUCCUCUCGCUCCGACCA